AGAAGCUUCGACUAAGGUUCGAUUCGAGCGAAGCGAGAGAACGUUGCCGCAGGCAACGGCCCGAAGGGCGAGGCGCUUUAGCGCCGAGUAAUCCUUCCCCCACCACCA
Molecule: small RNA, 108 nt
Filed under: Klebsiella pneumoniae subsp. pneumoniae
Lineage: Bacteria; Pseudomonadati; Pseudomonadota; Gammaproteobacteria; Enterobacterales; Enterobacteriaceae
Description: partial RtT sRNA
Rfam family: RtT RNA
About the family: This family represents a bacterial cis-regulatory element known as RtT RNA. The exact function of RtT is unknown although it is thought that it may be involved in changing the cellular response in relation to amino acid starvation.
Source: RNAcentral